CCUACGGGUGGCAGCAGUGGGGGAUAUUGCACAAUGGGGGAAACCCUGAUGCAGCGACGCCGCGUGAGUGAAGAAGUAUUUCGGUAUGUAAAGCUCUAUCAGCAGGGAAGAAAAUGACAGUACCUGACCAAGAAGCCCCGGCUAACUACGUGCCAGCAGCCGCGGUAAUACGUAGGGGGCAAGCGUUAGCCGGAUUUACUGGGUGUAACGGGAGCGUAGACGGUUAUGUAAGUCUGGAGUGAAAGCCCGGGGCGCAACCCCGGGACAGCUUUGGAUACUGUGUAACUGGAGUACAGGAGGGGGAGGCGGAAUGACUGGUGUAGCGGUGAAAUGCGUAGAUAUCAGGAGGAACACCAGCGGAGAAGGCGGGCUGCUGGACUGAAACUGACGUUGAGGCUCGAAAGAGAGGGGAGCAAACAGGAUUAGAUACCCUUGUAGUC
This 440-nucleotide ribosomal RNA is filed under the name uncultured bacterium. Its description in RNAcentral is "partial 16S ribosomal RNA". It matches the Rfam family "Bacterial small subunit ribosomal RNA", at positions 338 to 795 of the family's 1533-position model. The record is from RNAcentral.